This 399-nucleotide ribosomal RNA is filed under the name Triticum aestivum (bread wheat). RNAcentral's name for it is "partial small subunit ribosomal RNA". Lineage: Eukaryota; Viridiplantae; Streptophyta; Magnoliopsida; Poales; Poaceae. The record is from RNAcentral.
AUGUUUCUUCUUCCCAAUCCCACUGCAUCCCAAGAAAAUAUCUGCCUCCCUCGAGGAGGGUUUUUGUGUUUCAUAACACACAGUUGUUAUCUCUGCACCGUGUGCAUUGUUUCUUGUUCCCAAUCCCGCCAGCCCCUAGAAAAUAUCUGCUCGCCUCGAGGGUUUUUCUGUUUCAUAACACACGGUUGUUAUCUCCGAACCGUGUGGGAUGCACAAUCAUCAAAAUUUUCAUUAGCCCCGGCAUUUCACUCCCGCGUUGUAAGAUUUUCAAUACUCGCGUCAUUUCUUCAAACACACCCCCGCCCCCCUCCACACACACACGCACACACCAAAAUCUCCUCGGGUGUGCGUGCACACACACACAAACACACACACCCGCUCCCUCUCUCGAAACUCUAG